RNAcentral lists this ribosomal RNA (429 nucleotides) under uncultured bacterium. Its description in RNAcentral is "bacterial SSU rRNA". It matches the Rfam family "Bacterial small subunit ribosomal RNA", at positions 355 to 776 of the family's 1533-position model. The record is from RNAcentral.
UGGGGAAUAUUGGACAAUGGGGGCAACCCUGAUCCAGCAAUGCCGCGUGUGCGAUGAAGGCCUGCGGGUUGUAAAGCACUUUCGGUGAGGAAGAAACGCUCAGAUAUAAUACAUUUGAGAACUGACGUUACUCACAGAAGAAGCACCGGCAAACUCUGUGCCAGCAGCCGCGGUAAUACAGAGGGUGCAAGCGUUAAUCGGAGUUACUGGGCGUAAAGGGCGUGUAGGCUGAUAUUUAAGUCGAUUGUGAAAUCCCUGGGCUUAACCUAGGAAUUGCAGUCGAUACUGGAUGUCUAGAGUAUGGUAGAGGAAAGCGGAAUUCUCGGUGUAGUGGUUAAAUACGUAGAUAUCGAGAAGAACACCAGUUGCGAAGGCGGCUUUCUGGGCCAAUACUGACGCUGAGGCGCGAAAGCGUGGGGAGCAAACAGG